AACCAUUCUCACCUGCGGCUAGACCUGCGGAAGGAUCAUUACCGAGUUUACAACUCCCAAACCCCUGUGAACAUACCAAUUGUUGCCUCGGCGGAUCAGCCCGCUCCCGGUAAAACGGGGCGGCCCGCCAGAGGACUCCUAAACUCUGUUUCUAUAUGUAACUUCUGAGUAAAACCAUAAAUAAAUCAAAACUUUUAACAAUGGAUCU
This 208-nucleotide unclassified non-coding RNA is filed under the name soil metagenome. RNAcentral describes it as "partial contains 5.8S ribosomal RNA, internal transcribed spacer 2, and large subunit ribosomal RNA". The record is from RNAcentral.